UGGGGAAUCUUGGACAAUGGGGGCAACCCUGAUCCAGCCAUGCCGCGUGAGUGAUGAAGGCCUUAGGGUCGUAAAGCUCUUUCGCCUGUGAAGAUAAUGACGGUAGCAGGUAAAGAAACCCCGGCUAACUCCGUGCCAGCAGCCGCGGUAAUACGGAGGGGGUUAGCGUUGUUCGGAAUUACUGGGCGUAAAGCGCACGUAGGCGGACCAGAAAGUUGGGGGUGAAAUCCCGGGGGCUCAACCCCGGAACUGCCUCCAAAACUAUUGGUCUAGAGUUCGAGAGAGGUGAGUGGAAUUCCAAGUGUAGAGGUGAAAUUCGUAGAUAUUUGGAGGAACACCAGUGGCGAAGGCGGCUCACUGGCUCGAUACUGACGCUGAGGUGCGAAAGUGUGGGGAGCAAACAGGAUUAGAUACCCUGGUAGUCCACACCGUAAACGAUGAAUGCCAGUCGUCGGGUAGCAUGCUAUUCGGUGACACACCUAACGGAUUAAGCA
This 494-nucleotide ribosomal RNA is filed under the name uncultured bacterium. Its description in RNAcentral is "bacterial SSU rRNA". It matches the Rfam family "Bacterial small subunit ribosomal RNA", at positions 355 to 866 of the family's 1533-position model. The record is from RNAcentral.